GACGAACGCUGGUGGCGCGCCUAACACAUGCAAGUCGAACGAGCGAGCGAGAGCUUGCUUUCUCAAGCGAGUGGCGAACGGGUGAGUAACGCGUGAGGAACCUGCCUUAAACAGGGGGACAACAUCUGGAAACGACUGCUAAUACCGCAUAAGCCCACAGGUCGCCUUCGACCAGAGGGAAAAGGAGCAAUCCGCUAUGAGAUGGCCGCGCGUCCGAUUAGCUAGGUGGUGUGGUAACUGCCCACCAAGGCAACGAAGGGUAGCCGGACGGAGGGGCUGAAAGGUCACAAUGGGGCUGAGGCACGGACCAGAAUGCGAGGGAGGGGAGCAGUGGGGAAUAUUGCAGAAGGGAGGAAAACGUGACGACGCGACGCGGGGGAGAGGAAGAAGGGCGUCGGAUAGUAAACUCGUGUUGUAGGGGAAGAUAAUGACGGUACUGAACAAGGAAGUGACGGCUAACUACGUG
RNAcentral lists this ribosomal RNA (466 nucleotides) under uncultured bacterium. Its description in RNAcentral is "partial 16S ribosomal RNA". It matches the Rfam family "Bacterial small subunit ribosomal RNA", at positions 28 to 507 of the family's 1533-position model. The record is from RNAcentral.